UUUUGUUUGGAGAGUUUGAUCCUGGCUCAGGACGAACGCUGGCGGCGUGCUUAACACAUGCAAGUCGAACGGUGAAGGGACUGGUUUUGCUGGUCCUGGAUGAGUGGCGAACGGGUGAGUAACACGUGAGUAACCUGCCCCCUUCUUCUGGAUAACCGCAUGAAAGUGUGGCUAAUACGGGAUAUUCUGGGUCUGUCGCAUGGUGGGCCUGGGAAAGAUUGCGCCUUUUUUGGUGUUUUUGGUGGG
RNAcentral lists this ribosomal RNA (246 nucleotides) under Actinomyces naeslundii. Its description in RNAcentral is "partial 16S ribosomal RNA". It matches the Rfam family "Bacterial small subunit ribosomal RNA", at positions 1 to 223 of the family's 1533-position model. Lineage: Bacteria; Bacillati; Actinomycetota; Actinomycetes; Actinomycetales; Actinomycetaceae. The record is from RNAcentral.